AGAGUUUUGAUCAUGGCUCAGAUUGAACGCUGGCGGCAGGCCUAACACAUGCAAGUCGAACGGUAACAGGAAGCAGCUUGCUGCUUUUGCUGACGAGUGGCGGACGGGUGAGUAAUGUCUGGGAAACCUGCCUGAUGGAGGGGGAUUAACUACUGGAAACGGUGGCUAAUACCGCAUAACGUCGCAAGACCAAAGAGGGGGACCUUCGGGCCUCUUGCCAUCAGAUGUGCCCAGAUGGGAUUAGCUUGUUGGUGAGGUAACGGCUCACCAAGGCGACGAUCCCUAGCUGGUCUGAGAGGAUGACCAGCCACCACUGGAACUGAGACACGGUCCAGACUCCUACGGGAGGCAGCAGUGGGGAAUAUUGCACAAUGGGCGCAAGCCUGAUGCAGCCAUGCCGCGUGUAUGAAGAAGGCCUUCGGGUUGUAAAGUACUUUCAGCGGGGAGGAAGGUGUUGUGGUUAAUAACCGCAGCAAUUGACGUUACCCGCAGAAGAAGCACCGGCUAACUCCGUGCCAGCAGCCGCGGUAAUACGGAGGGUGCAAGCGUUAAUCGGAAUUACUGGGCGUAAAGCGCACGCAGGCGGUCUGUCAAGUCGGAUGUGAAAUCCCCGGGCUCAACCUGGGAACUGCAUUCGAAACUGGCAGGCUUGAGUCUUGUAGAGGGGGGUAGAAUUCCAGGUGUAGCGGUGAAAUGCGUAGAGAUCUGGAGGAAUACCGGUGGCGAAGGCGGCCCCCUGGACAAAGACUGACGCUCAGGUGCGAAAGCGUGGGGAGCAAACAGGAUUAGAUACCCUGGUAGUCCACGCCGUAAACGAUGUCUACUUGGAGGUUGUGCCCUUUGAGGCGUGGCUUCCGGAGCUAACGCGUUAAGUAGACCGCCUGGGGAGUACGGCCGCAAGGUUAAACUCAAAUGAUUGACGGGGGCCCGCACAAGCGGUGGAGCAUGUGGUUUAAUUCGAUGCAACGCGAAGAACCUUACCUGGUCUUGACAUUCCACAGAACUUUCCAGAGAUGGACUGGUGCCUUCGGGAACUGUGAGACAGGUGCUGCAUGGCUGUCGUCAGCUCGUGUUGUGAAAUGUUGGGUUAAGUCCCGCAACGAGCGCAACCCUUAUCCUUUGUUGCCAGCGAUUAGGUCGGGAACUCAAAGGAGACUGCCAGUGAUAAACUGGGAGGAAGGUGGGGAUGACGUCAAGUCAUCAUGGCCCUUACGACCAGGGCUACACACGUGCUACAAUGGCGCAUACAAAGAGAAGCGACCUCGCGAGAGCAAGCGGACCUCAUAAAGUGCGUCGUAGUCCGGAUUGGAGUCUGCAACUCGACUCCAUGAAGUCGGAAUCGCUAGUAAUCGUGGAUCAGAAUGCCACGGUGAAUACGUUCCCGGGCCUUGUACACACCGCCCGUCACACCGAUGGGAGUGGGUUGCAAAAGAAGUAGGUAGCUUAACCUUCGGGAGGGCGCUUACCACUUUGUGAUUCAUGACUGGGGUGAAGUCGUAACAAGGUAACCGUAGGGGAACCUGCGGUUGGAUCACCU
Molecule: ribosomal RNA, 1537 nt
Filed under: Salmonella enterica subsp. enterica
Lineage: Bacteria; Pseudomonadati; Pseudomonadota; Gammaproteobacteria; Enterobacterales; Enterobacteriaceae
Description: bacterial SSU rRNA
Rfam family: Bacterial small subunit ribosomal RNA
Source: RNAcentral